UACGGGGGGGGCAAGCGUUGUUCGGAAUUACUGGGCGUAAAGGGCGCGUAGGCGGUUUGUUAAGUUGGAUGUGAAAACUGUGGGCUCAACCUGCAGCCUGCAUCCAAUACUGACAGGCUAGAGUUCUGGAGGGGAUAGCGGAAUUCCUGGUGUAGCGGUGAAAUGCGUAGAUAUCAGGAGGAACACCGGCGGCGAAGGCGGCCAUCUGGACGAGGACUGACGCUGAGAUGCGAAAGCGUGGGGAGCAAACAGG
RNAcentral lists this ribosomal RNA (253 nucleotides) under uncultured bacterium. RNAcentral describes it as "partial 16S ribosomal RNA". It matches the Rfam family "Bacterial small subunit ribosomal RNA", at positions 524 to 776 of the family's 1533-position model. The record is from RNAcentral.